RNAcentral lists this ribosomal RNA (468 nucleotides) under uncultured bacterium. RNAcentral describes it as "partial 16S ribosomal RNA". It matches the Rfam family "Bacterial small subunit ribosomal RNA", at positions 28 to 507 of the family's 1533-position model. The record is from RNAcentral.
GACGAACGCUGGCGGCGUGCUUAACACAUGCAAGUCGAACGGAAAGGCCCUGCUUUUGUUGGUUGCUCGAGUGGCGAACGGGUGAGUAACACGUGAGUAACCUGCCCUUGACUUUGGGAUAACUUCAGGAAACUGGGGCUAAUACCGGAUAGGAGCUCCUGCUGCAUGGUGGGGGUUGGAAAGUUUCGGCGGUUGGGGAUGGACUCGCGGCUUAUCAGCUUGUUGGUGGGGUAGUUGCUUACCAAGGCUUUGACGGGUAGCCGGCCUGAGAGGGUGACCGGCCACAUUGGGACUGAGAUACGGACCAGACUCCUACGGGAGGCAGAAGUGGGGAAUAUUGCACAAUGGGCGGAAGCCUGAUGCAGCAACGCCGCGUGCGGGAUGACGGCCUUCGGGUUGUAAACCGCUUUCGCCUGUGACGAAGCGUGAGUGACGGUAAUGGGUAAAGAAGCACCGGCUAACUACGUG